RNAcentral lists this long non-coding RNA (711 nucleotides) under Cucumis sativus (cucumber). RNAcentral describes it as "long non-coding RNA (CSAT_LNC000131)". Lineage: Eukaryota; Viridiplantae; Streptophyta; Magnoliopsida; Cucurbitales; Cucurbitaceae. The record is from RNAcentral.
ACAACUAUAUAAAUACCAAACUCGUAAUUAAAGUAUUCAUAAACAAAUCAUAGAAUUAAAAGUAUUACUACAUACACAAUAUGGGUAGAGCAGAACCAAUUAAGGAUGUGAAUGACUCAGAAGUGAAAUUUGCUGCAGGGCAAGCAGUUAAAAUCCAUAACGAUCAAAAACACGAUACAUUGGUUUUCAUUCGUGUAGUGAAUGGUCUGAAGCAGGAAGUUGAUACUGCCAAGCUGUAUUCUCUUCUGAUAGAAGCUACAAAUGGUGAUGGAACUCAUUGGGGAUAUAUCGCUAAGAUUAAGUUGUGGCCUAAGGCCCCAAGUCAUUAUGAUCCAUAUUCCCAUACCUUUGAGCUCAUAUCUUGGGAAGAUCCCCUCAAAUUCUGGAACUAAGUAUUCCAAUGUUAUCUUUUUACAUCUUUACAUCUUUACAUCUUUACAUCAUAAUAAUAUGUCCUUCUCUAUAUAUAGAGAGAGGGCAUUAUUGUCUUCCAACUACUAUAUGAAAAUGGUAUAGCCUUGAUUAAAUAGUGAUACACAUAAUCUAUUUCUAUAUAGUAUAUGUGUGUCCAUAUAUAUAUGUUUAACUUUUUCUCUUCUCUCUCCCAUCUAUGUUCUAUGUAUGUAAAGAGUUUAAAUAAGACUAAAUCAUUAAAUAGUCAAUUUUACUUUAUAAUUUGUCGUUUACUGUUUUAAACUGAUUAUUUCGUUU